Molecule: ribosomal RNA, 500 nt
Filed under: uncultured bacterium
Lineage: Bacteria
Description: partial 16S ribosomal RNA
Rfam family: Bacterial small subunit ribosomal RNA
Source: RNAcentral
AUUGAACGCUGGCGGAAUGCUUUACACAUGCAAGUCGAGCGGCAGCGCGGGGGCAACCCUGGCGGCGAGCGGCGAACGGGUGAGUAACAUAUCGGAACGUACCCAUGAGUGGGGGAUAACACAUCGAAAGAUGUGCUAAUACCGCAUACGCCCUGAGGGGGAAAGCGGGGGAUCGCAAGACCUCGCGCUGAUGGAGCGGCCGAUAUCGGAUUAGCUAGUUGGUGGGGUAAAGGCCUACCAAGGCGACGAUCCCUAGCUGGUCUGAGAGGAUGAUCAGCCACACUGGAGCUGAGACUCGGUCCAGACUCCUACGGGCGGCAGCAGUGGGGAAUAUUGGACAAUGGGCGCAAGCCUGAUCCAGCCAUACCGCGUGGGUGAAGAAGGCCUUCGGGUUGUAAAGCCCUUUUGUUGGGAAAGAAAUCCAGCUGGCUAAUACCCGGUUGGGAUGACGGUACCCAAAGAAUAAGCACCGGCUAACUUCGUGCCAGCCGCCGCUGUAA